UGAAUACGAAAUGCUGCGGCAUUGAAGUGAUCUAUGCCAGGCUUCCAAGAAAAUCUCGUCAUAUCUUAAGCAGUAGAUGCCUGUACCUUAAACCGACACAGGUAGGUAGGUAGAGUAUACCAAGGGGCGCGAGAUAACUCCCUCUAAGGAACUCGGCAAAAUAACCUCGUAACUUCGGAAGAAGAGGUACCCUUGAAAAAGGGUUGCAAUAACCAGACCCUGGCGGCUGUUUACCAAAAACACAGGUCUCCGCUAAUUCGUAAGAUCAAGUAUGGAGGCUGACGCCUGCCCAGUGCCGGAAGGUUAAAGAAGUUGGUCAAUCUUUGGAUGAAGCUGGCGACUGAAGCCCCGGUGAACGGCGGCCGUAACAAUAACGGUCCUAAGGUAGCGAAGUUCCUUGUCGGGUAAGUUCCGACCCGCACGAAAGGCGUAACGAUCAGGGUGCUGUCUCGGAGAGAGACUCGGCGAAAUAGACAUGUCUGUGAAGAUGCGGACUACCUGCACCUGGACAGAAAGACCCUAUGAAGCUUUACUGUAUCUUGGAAUUGGGUUUGGGCCUUGCUUGCGCAGGAUAGGUGGGAGGCUGUGAAGAUAUUCUUGCGGGAAUGUUGGAGCCAACGGUGAGAUACCACUCUAGUAAGGCUAAAAUUCUAACUCUGAACCGUUAUCCGGUCAGAGAACAGUUUCAGGUGGGCAGUUUGACUGGGGCGGUCGCCUCCUAAAAGGUAACGGAGGCGCGCAAAGGUUCCCUCAGGCUGGUUGGACAUCAGUCGUAGAGUGUAAAGGCAUAAGGGAGCUUGACUGCGAGACCCACAAGUCGAGCAGAGACGAAAGUCGGCCUUAGUGAUCCGACGGUUCCACGUGGAAGGGCCGUCGCUCAACGGAUAAAAGUUACUCUAGGAUAACAGGCUGAUCUCCCCCAAGAGUUCACAUCGACGGGGAGGUUUGGCACCUCGAUGUCGGCUCAUCGCAUCCUGGGGCGGUAGUACGUCCCAAGGGUUGGGCUGUUCGCCCAUGAAAGCGGUACGCGAGCUGGGUUCAGAACGUCAUGAGACAGUUCGGUCCAUAUCCGGUGCAGGCGUUAGAGCAUUGAGAGGAGUCCCCCUUAGUACGAGAGGACCGGGGGGAAUACACCGCUGGUGUACCAGUUAUCGUGCCAACGGUAAACGCUGGGUAGCCAUGUGUAGCGCGGAUAACUGCUGAAAGCAUCUAAGUAGGAAGCCCACCUUAAGAUGAGUGCUCUCACCGCUAUAAGCGGGUAAGGUCACGGUAAGAACAACCGUUAUAUAGGCAUUAAGUAUACGUGCAGUAACGCAUUUAGCUGAGAUGUACUAACAGACCGAGGGC
This 1347-nucleotide ribosomal RNA is filed under the name metagenome. RNAcentral describes it as "bacterial LSU rRNA". It matches the Rfam family "Bacterial large subunit ribosomal RNA", at positions 1564 to 2925 of the family's 2925-position model. The record is from RNAcentral.